GUUUCACUAUAAGUAUGUCCCAUGAUAUAUUUGGGACAUACUUAUACUAAAA
Molecule: microRNA precursor, 52 nt
Organism: Pan troglodytes (chimpanzee)
Lineage: Eukaryota; Metazoa; Chordata; Mammalia; Primates; Hominidae
Rfam family: mir-1302 microRNA precursor family
Source: Rfam